Long non-coding RNA from Pipistrellus kuhlii (Kuhl's pipistrelle), 97 nucleotides. RefSeq lists it as uncharacterized. Lineage: Eukaryota; Metazoa; Chordata; Mammalia; Chiroptera; Vespertilionidae. The transcript has 3 exons. The record is from RefSeq and is a predicted model, not a curated record.
AGUAUAUUUAUAUGAUGUAUUAUGGAACUGUAGACUUGAAACCUAUAUAAUUCUAUUAACUAAUGUUACCCCAAUAAAUUAUAAAAGAAAGUCUCUU